AAUGCCCCACAGGCGCUAACUUCUCGUUGCGGUGCAUGCAAGAGAGCCAUAAUCAUCCUCUGGCUCACAGAUGAGGACACUGGGGUACAGCAUGGUUAAAUACUUCACAAGGCCAUCCGGCUAGACUAUGAGGAUGCUCGCACUUCCAUCCAGGUGGCCAUGGCUUAUUCCCUGCCCCCACCCGAUAGAAAUUUCCUGUACUCAACCACGAGUUAAAACCUGCUGCUUCGGGUGACUGUAAAUUUUCCACUUCUAUCUUCAACUUCUCAGUGCUGAAGCUAUCCAUAGAAAAUCUAGUUGUCAGAAGACCUCCAACCUUGACAAGGUUAGUCUGGGUUUACAGUCGAGUAGUUUGAUUUUUAAAGUAUUAUGAUGAUGAUGAUCAUUAUGGAGCUGUAGCAUGUACCUUCUAAUUUGGUUGUCAGGGGAGACAGGGAGUGGUAAUUAAGGCUAAAAGACGGAGAAUGAGAGCCUUAUUAAAGGGUAUAUGGAAGAUGGGAAUUUGAUCUGAGAAUUAGGCAGUGAUGAGCCUGCGGCUGCAGCUGUGGUGUUCUUGAGUGACAGAGGGACCGAGCAGGCAAUUAGAACGACAGGCGUCUGCCUAAUCUGUACAAUCCCGAACUCCAUCACAUCCAUUUAAAUUAAUUUUUAUGAAGCCUGCACGUUUAUAGCCUCACCAAAUUGGAAAUUUGUUUGUUUAUUGUCCACAGGAAGUAAUUUUAGGGGAGCAAACAGCACCGAGAGCAAUCCUGUCUUGCUUGUCUUUUUAACUUGUAAAAUUAAUAAUAGGAAAUGAAUCCGGAGGCUGCCGCCUUUAUGAAGGGCUGAUUGAUCCUUGGCAGCCGGGCACCAUCAUGAUCAUGGGAAGGUCAAAGGGAGGCAUGUAAAAGUCACCGCUGAUUGAGUCCCUGCGUGGAG
Molecule: long non-coding RNA, 918 nt
Filed under: Felis catus (domestic cat)
Lineage: Eukaryota; Metazoa; Chordata; Mammalia; Carnivora; Felidae
Description: lncRNA (ENSFCAG00000049160.1)
Source: RNAcentral